This 86-nucleotide small nucleolar RNA is filed under the name Scophthalmus maximus (turbot). RNAcentral's name for it is "Small nucleolar RNA SNORD35 (ENSSMAG00000005999.2)". It matches the Rfam family "Small nucleolar RNA SNORD35". Rfam says of the family: U35 is a C/D box snoRNA located in intron 6 of ribosomal protein L13A and intron 3 of ribosomal protein S11 in humans and at homologous positions in mouse and chicken ribosomal protein genes. U35 guides the methylation of 2'-O-ribose sites in 28S rRNA. Lineage: Eukaryota; Metazoa; Chordata; Actinopteri; Pleuronectiformes; Scophthalmidae. The record is from Rfam by way of RNAcentral.
UGCAAGUGAUGCUUUUCUCACGAUGGUCUUCCAAGCCCGCAGGGUUCUGACGACAACGCCUUUUUUGGCAAAACUGAUGCAGUUAG